UAGGGAUUACGUGAGAUAAUAUGGUCUGUGUGCUGAUUCACUCAUUUAGUGUGGUCUCAUUUCCUUAAAGAACACAUCUUGAGAGAACACUUUUUUACUCUCUAACCCUCAGGGUCAUCUGGAUGAAAUGAAUACUUUUAGGGCAAAAUGGCUGAUACUGCUUCCUUGAUAACCACAUAUAGAAAACUGACAACUGUUUAGAACAAAGCCAAAGAUGAAACCAAAUAUAAAACCACUGAUGAAAACUAAGUGAAAAAUAUAAGCAAAAUAGAAGAAAAAUAAGGUCGUUAUUUCAAGAAAAGGAAAGACAGUCAAUGCUGUUCUUUAUAUUCACAUACAAUUUGGUUCACACCAAAAUGUGAGUUGUUCUCUAUGAGAUGUUAUUAAACGUUCCUAAGAAGACUCGCUUUAGAAAAAAACAGUAUUCCUAAGGCAUGUCCAAUCUGUCUCUUUUCUUAAUUGCUAUAGUUCUACUUUAUUAUUAUAAUGUAUUCAGCAUUAAAAUUCAUUAUUUCCC
Molecule: non-coding RNA, 517 nt
Filed under: Pan troglodytes (chimpanzee)
Lineage: Eukaryota; Metazoa; Chordata; Mammalia; Primates; Hominidae
Source: RNAcentral